This is an RNA transcript of Bombus pyrosoma, 5320 nucleotides long. It is a transcript of the gene named sodium- and chloride-dependent GABA transporter 1-like, with no coding region annotated. The record is from RefSeq and is a predicted model, not a curated record. Lineage: Eukaryota; Metazoa; Arthropoda; Insecta; Hymenoptera; Apidae. The transcript is spliced from 11 exons.
UUCGCCAUCGAAAGUGAACUCCUGAUUCCAGUUCUGAGCGGGCCGGCUAACCAUUCGCAUCGUCCCUCAGAUAUAAAUUGUCUUUUAAACAUCGACAUCGAGACGAGACGAGCGAAAGUUGAGAGAAAAAAGGGAGAUCAAGGGAGGAAAAGACGAACAGUUGCAACAGUUCUCGUCGUUCAUGUAUAUCAUACGUAGUAAUCGAUGAUCGUAACGUCGCUAGAACCGCCAGGAUCAAGAGAACCCGUUAGCUCUUGAUCACCGAAUAUCACUUUACCGAAUCGAAGUUCCGUCGAAUCAAAGUGUUACAUCACUCUUUUUCUGCAUCGAGGACUUUGCUUGAAACACUGAGAAUGCCGCCCGUUCGACCCGAUCGAGCUGCUGCGUGAAAGAUUAAGAGUGUGCAGUGCAGUGCAUACGAUCUAAUUCGAUUCUUGAGAAAGUUUCGCUAAAUCGGCGUUUCUCUUUCGCGCGGUCCUUCCUUCAUUUCCGUUCUUCUCACGAACCACCGGAAAUUCACGAGAAGGAAGCACGGUGACCACGGAAGCGCAAUAAACGGCUGAUACAGUGUCGUGAGAUCGAUAACUGGCUAAAGUUAGAAACACUGUUAUGUCUUCGCGGUAGUUCCGCGGCCAAUAAAGGAAUACGCGAGAGAGGUCAUCGAAAACGAGGGAACUCUUUUACGGUGAGCGAAAUAAAUCGUUCAAAAUGACGGAAGCAUCGAGAGAACCGGAACUCGCGGAUCCUGAAAAUCCUGACAAAACCGCGUUGAAUCUAGCAUCCGCAUCUAAUAAAACAAAACCACUGCCAGAACGUGGUACAUGGAGUACCAAGCUAGAUUUCAUUUUGAGCGUGGUUGGUCUAGCAAUCGGUCUGGGAAAUGUUUGGAGAUUUCCAUAUCUCUGUUACAAGAACGGUGGCGGUGCAUUUUUAAUUCCGUAUUUUUUAACACUGGUUCUUGCUGGGAUUCCAAUGUUCUUUAUGGAACUAGCUCUCGGCCAGAUGCUUACCGUUGGUGGCCUCGGUGUCUUCAAAAUAGCACCACUGUUUAAGGGCAUCGGAUAUGCCGCCGCUGUCAUGUCCUGUUGGAUGAAUGUUUAUUACAUCGUCAUUCUUGCUUGGGCUAUCUUCUACUUUUUUAUGUCCAUGCGCAGUGAAUUACCAUGGGGAAGCUGUAAUAACUACUGGAACACGAAGAAUUGCGUAAAUCCCUACGACAGAGAUUCGCUAGUAUGUUGGAAUCAAGUUACUAGACAUCAUAAUUACGUUAAAGUAUGUUCCGUCAACGACGUCAACAUGACGAUCACAGAGCUUACUGAUCCGGUCAAGGAAUUUUGGGAACGUCGAGCACUUCAGAUCAGUGAGGGCGUGGAACACGUCGGGAGUAUUCGUUGGGAACUAGCUGGUACCCUCCUUCUGGUUUGGAUUCUCUGUUAUUUUUGUAUUUGGAAAGGUGUUAAAUGGACUGGAAAGGUGGUAUACUUUACCUCCUUGUUCCCUUAUGUUUUGUUGACGAUCCUUCUGAUUCGUGGCAUUACUUUACCCGGAGCCAUGGAAGGCAUUCGAUUUUAUAUCAGUCCAAAUCUUUCCAAACUAAAAGAAUCCGAGGUAUGGAUAGAUGCUGUUACUCAAAUUUUCUUUUCGUACGGACUAGGUUUGGGCACAUUAGUGGCUCUUGGUAGUUACAAUAAAUUUACAAAUAACGUUUACAAAGACGCAUUGAUCGUUUGCUCGGUGAAUUCUUCGACGAGCAUGUUCGCCGGUUUCGUCAUAUUUUCCGUGGUAGGCUUCAUGGCCCACGAACAACAAAAACCUGUCGCAGAAGUCGCCGCUUCUGGUCCUGGAUUGGCUUUCUUAGCUUACCCUUCUGCGGUUCUUCAACUUCCUGGAGCGCCCCUUUGGUCUUGUCUCUUCUUCUUUAUGCUUCUUCUCAUAGGUUUAGAUUCUCAGUUUUGUACUAUGGAAGGAUUUAUUACUGCCAUGGUGGACGAAUGGCCGCAGUUGCUUCGCCGGCGUAAGGAAUUAUUCAUUGCGAUAGUUUGCGUGCUUUCUUACAUUAUUGGAUUAUCUUGUAUUUCACAAGGUGGCAUGUAUGUCUUUCAAAUCUUGGAUUCAUACGCAGUGUCUGGGUUCUGUCUUCUCUUCCUAAUUUUUUUCGAGUGUAUUUCGAUAAGUUGGGCUUUUGGUGUAAAUCGAUUUUACGACGCUAUAAGAGACAUGAUAGGAUAUUACCCUCUAAUGUGGUGGAAGCUAUGUUGGACUAUUACCACCCCCAUGAUUUGUGUCGGCGUCUUCAUUUUCAAUCUCGUACAAUGGACACCUGUAAAAUAUUUAGACUAUGAAUAUCCAUGGUGGUCGCAUGUGCUUGGCUGGAUGACGGCUUUAUCUUCGAUGCUUUGUAUACCUGGUUACAUGAUUUAUGCUUGGAAGACAACACCAGGAGAUACGUCUACAAAAUACAAGUUGUUAGUACGGAUAGAGGAUGAUGUAACAGGUCUACGAAUGAAAAUGGGUCAGCCAUCGGUCGAACUGACACCACUUUAACUGCCACGGAUUCAUUUUGAUCCUAAAAGGGAUUCAUUAUUUUAAUCUUUAAUACCUUCUGACUACCAUUAAUUUAACGAAUUAACUAUUUAAUGACAUUUGACAUCAUUAUCUUCGUGUAAUUUUUUUAUAAAAUUACUUCCUUCGUUCGUUCGAAAAAAAAACUUUUGCUGUGUUCCUGUUUACCAAAGAAAUUCAUGUUAUUUAAAUGAACAUUUUUUAUCGUCUAGAUAAUAAUAUAUUAGAUUCUUAUCAGAAGGAAGCUCGUAUAAAAUACAAGGCAACUAAAGUGUUCAGAAUUGUAUCUAGUUUUAGCUUAAGUAUAUUAUAGAGUAAUUUAAAGCACAUGAAAUUUUUGGCAUACACGAAUAGUUCACAAGAGAAAUGCAUUUAGAAAAUAAUCUCCCAAUCUUGUUUAUAAGAUGGAUUCUAAAAUUAAAAAUUUCAAGUACUUGAUAAGUGUUUUAAAUUCCGAAACUAUUCGUGUAAGUCUGAUUACAAAUUUAGCAGCUAUAACUUAUUUUAGCAAUAUCGGACAUGUACCAUAAAUCAAAAAUUACUGCACAUUUUGAAUGUAACUAUAUAGUACACAUAUCUACGCUGCCAUAAUUAUUAUAUUUUGCUGCUCAAUUGAUCGCUAAGCCGAAAUGUUUUUUGUUUAUAUAAAAGAUAUAUCGAUUUACGCGUGAUUUUGCAGAAAAUGUAUGUGCAAAUUUUAUUCUUAAUAAAAAUUGUAGAUUUGCAUAGAAAAUAUGGUAGUAGAUAUCCAUUACAUUAUUAAUAGGAAAAAAAUAAUUAUUAAUAUAUAUAUAAUUAAGUUGAAAAUUAUUUAAAAAUUGUUUUGGCAAAAUUUACGGUAUAUUUAGUUGAAAAUUAUUAUAACUAGUUAUUUUAAUAGUAUCUAUUGUAGUUAUAUAUGUUACGCAUGUUUCUCUCUUAGAAAAUGUAACAUGCUAAAUAAGAAUUUCAUUCAUUUGAAGAAAGAAAAAUUAAGAAAAAGACUCUGUAUGGUAACAUUUUUGGUAAAUAAAGUUAAUUAUUAAAAAGUUAUUUAGUUUUUGUUAGUAUAAUAUAUGUAUAUGUCUAUAACUUUUAUAUGUUGUUAUUUUUAGCAAUAUAAAAAUUAUACUAUAUAUUUAUUUUAUGAAAUAUAUAAUUAUAUAUGUACGUUUUCAUUCAAAUGAAAAAACCAUGAAAUAUAUAAAGUAUAGUAAGGAUAUAUGUAUAGUAGUAUACGAAGUUUCCUUAUGUUUCAUUGUUAUAUACCUUCUUUUAUUAAUUUUCAGUGGUGUAUUUUUAAAAAUAUUUAUGUUAUAUAUAAUAAUUGUCACUUUUAACACUUUACUUUCGUUAAAGAAAAAUAAGAUUCUUUCAAAUAUCAAGAUGGCAGCGCAGCUAAUCUAACAAGUGCAAAAUAAUUAGAAGUGGAAUUCCUUGAAGAAUGUCUACGUUUUAUGGUCAGACUAAUUCUACAUGUCACAGACUUAAAUUCUAAAAUAUUGAUGCGUGGUCGCCCUGCGUGUUAUAAAUACAACUUGUGGAAUUGAUUAAUUGUACAUUCAUUUUUUUAAAAAAGUAUCUCAAUUUAAUGUAACAAUAUUUAUUUACACAUAUUAUUUUUAUAUUUCUUUAGACAUACUAUUAUUUUUCGGACGUGUCCAUUUUCUGAUAACUAAAAUAUGAUAUAUAGGGUAAGACGGUAUUCGUAGAACAACCGGACAGAGGAUGAUUCUACGUGAAAAAAUAUGUCGAAAAUCUUAAAAUUUUUUCAUAUGUCGCUUUUUUCGAAACAUUUAAGUUUAAAAAUUCGUCAAAUAUACUUUAACUUGGUUAAGUACCGACUAGGUAUGAAUAAAUAUUCAGCACGCGGUUAUUAAUUAAUAUACAUAUGAAAAUAAAUCAAAAAUAUUCCAUAAUAUUUUCCUAUUUAUUGUAAAAUCUCAUUUUCAAGAAACUAAAGUUUAAACAUGUUUAAUUACGAAAUAGUUUGAUACACGCGCAUAAUAUCUCAAUCUCAAUAAUCAUUUUCAAAUCUAUUUUCCUCGAAAAAACGAAAGUAUCUUAUGAAAAAAUAUUUUAUUUUUUUCGAUUUAUUUUCACAUGUAGUUUAAACUUUUGUCGAUUAUUUAUUCUUGUCCAGUCCGGAAUUAGGCAAAUUUAUAUAUCCUUCAAAUUCUUAAAUUCAAUUUUCUCGGAAACAAAGUCUCAGAUGAAAAAAUAUCAUACUACAUCUUUUUCUUACUUUUUCACAUAGACUCACUAUUUUCUGUAGGCUGUUUUCACUGGGUGUAGGCUGAUACUAUUAGAGUGGAAAUUGUAGUACUAUGAAGAGGCAAAAUUUUUAAGUGAUGGAGGCGCCACCAUGCAUUCAUAUAUUCAUAUAUAUUAUAUAUUUUAUGACAGUACUAUAGCUGUUUACAUUAUAAUAUUACUUAUAGUGUAAGUGUUCAAUUAUUGAUUGUGCUUGUAAGUGAUUCUUGAACUUACAUAUAUUGUUUUUCAUUGUUUAUUAAAAUGUUAGAUGAAAAUAAAUUUUAAACAAAUAAACUAUAAGUGUGUAAGUAAGCACAAGGUAAAUGUUGCCAAGUAUACAUUUUUUAAAACAUUUUUUAUUACUUUAUGAAAAUAAGUAAACAAAUUAAACAAAUUCUAUCUUUAUUUUAACAAAUUUAUUUUGGAUCUAUAAUUUACAGAUGUUUGUAGUGAUUGUACAAAGUAGAAGAUUUUAUUGUUCAAUGUAAUAAACGUAGAUAAAAUAAAUAAAUAAAAUCAUAUA